This 510-nucleotide ribosomal RNA is filed under the name uncultured bacterium. Its description in RNAcentral is "bacterial SSU rRNA". It matches the Rfam family "Bacterial small subunit ribosomal RNA", at positions 21 to 518 of the family's 1533-position model. The record is from RNAcentral.
GGCUCAGGACGAACGCUGGCGGCGUGCCUAACACAUGCAAGUCGAGCGGGGACAUGCGACGGAUCGGAAGUUUCGGAUGGAAGAGAAGAUGUAUGUUCUAGCGGCGGACGGGUGAGUAACGCGUGAGCAACCUGUCCUUCACAGGGGGAUAACACAGCGAAAGUUGUACUAAUACCGCAUGAGACCACGGCGGGACAUCCCGCAGGGGUCAAAGGAGCAAUCCGGUGAAGGGUGGGCUCGCGUCCGAUUAGAUAGUUGGUGAGGUAACGGCCCACCAAGUCGACGAUCGGUAGCCGACCUGAGAGGGUGAUCGGCCACAUUGGGACUGAGACACGGCCCAAACUCCUACGGGAGGCAGCAGUGGGGAAUAUUGGGCAAAUGGGGGAAACCCUGACCCAGCAACGCCGCGUGAGGGAAGAAGGUUUUCGGAUCGUAAACCUCUGUCCUUGGUGAAGAGGAAGAGACGGUAGCCAAGGAGGAAGCCCCGGCUAACUACGUGCCAGCAGCCGC